Molecule: ribosomal RNA, 275 nt
Filed under: uncultured bacterium
Lineage: Bacteria
Description: partial 16S ribosomal RNA
Rfam family: Bacterial small subunit ribosomal RNA
Source: RNAcentral
GCCCUACGGGACGCAGCAGUGGGGAAUAUUGCACAAUGGGGGAAACCCUGAUGCAGCGACGCCGCGUGAAGGAUGAAGUAUUUCGGUAUGUAAACUUCUAUCAGCAGGGAAGAAAAUGACGGUACCUGACUAAGAAGCCCCGGCUAACUGCGUGCCAGCAGCCGCGGUAAUACGUAGGGGGCAAGCGUUAUCCGGAUUUACUGGGUGUAAAGGGAGCGUAGGCGGCAUAGCAAGUCUGAAGUGAAAGCCCGUGGCUCAACCGCGGCACUGCUUUG